This 497-nucleotide ribosomal RNA is filed under the name uncultured bacterium. RNAcentral describes it as "partial 16S ribosomal RNA". It matches the Rfam family "Bacterial small subunit ribosomal RNA", at positions 28 to 507 of the family's 1533-position model. The record is from RNAcentral.
GAUGAACGCUGGCGGCGUGCCUAAUACAUGCAAGUCGAGCGAACAGACGAGGAGCUUGCUCCUCUGACGUUAGCGGCGGACGGGUGAGUAACACGUGGAUAACCUACCUAUAAGACUGGGAUAACUUCGGGAAACCGGAGCUAAUACCGGAUAAUAUAUUGAACCGCAUGGUUCAAUAGUGAAAGACGGUUUUGCUGUCACUUAUAGAUGGAUCCGCGCCGCAUUAGCUAGUUGGUAAGGUAACGGCUUACCAAGGCGACGAUGCGUAGCCGACCUGAGAGGGUGAUCGGCCACACUGGAACUGAGACACGGUCCAGACUCCUACGGGAGGCAGCAGUAGGGAAUCUUCCGCAAAGGGCGAAAGCCUGACGGAGCAACGCCGCGUGAGUGAUGAAGGUCUUCGGAUCGUAAAACUCUGUUAUUAGGGAAGAACAAAUGUGUAAGUAACUAUGCACGUCUUGACGGUACCUAAUCAGAAGGCCACGGCUAACUACGUG